UAUUCAAGCUUCUUAUUUUAUAUGAGAGUUUGAUCCUGGCUCAGGAUGAACGCCGGCGGUGUGCCUAAUACA
RNAcentral lists this ribosomal RNA (72 nucleotides) under Limosilactobacillus fermentum. Its description in RNAcentral is "Lactobacillus fermentum partial 16S ribosomal RNA". The record is from RNAcentral. Lineage: Bacteria; Bacillati; Bacillota; Bacilli; Lactobacillales; Lactobacillaceae.